CCGGCGAACGGGUGCGUAACACGUGAGCAACCUGCCGCGCUCUGGGGGAUAGCCGGCCCAACGGCCGGGUAAUACCGCAUACGUUCUUUGGGGGAGUCCCCUGAAGAGGAAACCUCCGGGGGAGCGCGAGGGGCUCGCGGCCUAUCAGCUAGUUGGCGAGGUAACGGCUCACCAAGGCAACGACGGGUAGCUGGUCUGAGAGGAUGGCCAGCCACAUUGGGACUGAGAUACGGCCCAG
RNAcentral lists this ribosomal RNA (238 nucleotides) under uncultured bacterium. Its description in RNAcentral is "partial 16S ribosomal RNA". It matches the Rfam family "Bacterial small subunit ribosomal RNA", at positions 95 to 334 of the family's 1533-position model. The record is from RNAcentral.